UACGUAGGGUGCAAGCGUUAAUCGGAAUUACUGGGCGUAAAGCGUGCGCAGGCGGUUUUGUAAGUCUGUCGUGAAAUCCCCGGGCUCAACCUGGGAAUUGCGAUGGAGACUGCAAGGCUAGAAUCUGGCAGAGGGGGGUAGAAUUCCACGUGUAGCAGUGAAAUGCGUAGAGAUGUGGAGGAACACCGAUGGCGAAGGCAGCCCCCUGGGUCAAGAUUGACACUCAUGCACGAAAGCGUGGGGAGCGAACAGG
Molecule: ribosomal RNA, 253 nt
Filed under: uncultured bacterium
Lineage: Bacteria
Description: partial 16S ribosomal RNA
Rfam family: Bacterial small subunit ribosomal RNA
Source: RNAcentral